CAAAAUCAGGAAACAAAAACUUCAAAUAGAUACAUAUUUUUAACACUAUUUCUAUCGUAGUCAGUUCUGGCGCGGAGUUGCGCUUAGUGGCGCAGAGGUGUUAUUAUUUCUGUUCUGUAUGUAUUUUUGUAUGGGAAUGAAUGUUGUGGUGAUUGUUUUCUUUUUAUAUCUAUUGUAUGGGUGAAAAUUUAAGCUUUUAAGAGUAUCUCGAAGAGUCUUCGGAAUUCGGAAGCUAUCUUUGGCAGCGCAAAACUGUUGGUCGGAAAACGGAGAGGCGGCGGCAGCCUGUGGGACUUCCCAGCGCUGAUCGGAGGAUGCAGCGGCGUGGGCUGUAUAUAUCCCAGCGCUGGUCGGCGGACGCGACAGCGGCGGGCUGUGUGACGUCCAGCGCUGGACGGAGGACGCGGCGGCGCGGGCGCCGUCGGAUGUCCAAGUGCUGGAUGGAGGAGGCGUGGCAGGUUGCUGUGCAGACAUCAGUGGCACUGACCUCGAAAAGCGGUGCCCGCGUGUACAUAAUGUGUGCUUGUAUAAAUACAUUUGGUACAGAUUA
This 550-nucleotide long non-coding RNA is filed under the name Amphibalanus amphitrite. RNAcentral's name for it is "uncharacterized LOC122392424". The record is from RNAcentral. Lineage: Eukaryota; Metazoa; Arthropoda; Thecostraca; Balanomorpha; Balanidae.